Molecule: non-coding RNA, 27 nt
Filed under: Rattus norvegicus (Norway rat)
Lineage: Eukaryota; Metazoa; Chordata; Mammalia; Rodentia; Muridae
Source: RNAcentral
UUGUCAAAAUCAGUGUGAUGCCUCUAU